This 83-nucleotide transfer RNA is filed under the name Clostridia bacterium. Its description in RNAcentral is "tRNA-Leu". It matches the Rfam family "tRNA". Rfam says of the family: Transfer RNA (tRNA) molecules are approximately 80 nucleotides in length. Their secondary structure includes four short double-helical elements and three loops (D, anti-codon, and T loops). The record is from RNAcentral. Lineage: Bacteria; Bacillati; Bacillota; Clostridia.
GCGAGAGUGGCGAAAUUGGCAGACGCGCACGUUUAAGGGGCGUGUGGAUUUCCGUACGGGUUCAAGUCCCGUCUCUCGCACCA